GAUGAACGCUAGCUACAGGCUUAACACAUGCAAGUCGAGGGGCAGCAUGGUCUUAGCUUGCUAAGGCCGAUGGCGACCGGCGCACGGGUGAGUAACACGUAUCCAACCUGCCGUCUACUCUUGGACAGCCUUCUGAAAGGAAGAUUAAUACAAGAUGGCAUCAUGAGUCCGCAUGUUCACAUGAUUAAAGGUAUUCCGGUAGACGAUGGGGAUGCGUUCCAUUAGAUAGUAGGCGGGGUAACGGCCCACCUAGUCUUCGAUGGAUAGGGGUUCUGAGAGGAAGGUCCCCCACAUUGGAACUGAGACACGGUCCAAACUCCUACGGGAGGCAGCAGUGAGGAAUAUUGGUCAAUGGGCGAGAGCCUGAACCAGCCAAGUAGCGUGAAGGAUGACUGCCCUAUGGGUUGUAAACUUCUUUUAUAAAGGAAUAAAGUCGGGUAUGGAUACCCGUUUGCAUGUACUUUAUGAAUAAGGAUCGGCUAACUCCGUGCCAGCAGCCGCGGUAAUACGGAGGAUCCGAGCGUUAUCCGGAUUUAUUGGGUUUAAAGGGAGCGUAGAUGGAUGUUUAAGUCAGUUGUGAAAGUUUGCGGCUCAACCGUAAAAUUGCAGUUGAUACUGGAUAUCUUGAGUGCAGUUGAGGCAGGCGGAAUUCGUGGUGUAGCGGUGAAAUGCUUAGAUAUCACGAAGAACUCCGAUUGCGAAGGCAGCCUGCUAAGCUGCAACUGACAUUGAGGCUCGAAAGUGUGGGUAUCAAACAGG
RNAcentral lists this ribosomal RNA (759 nucleotides) under uncultured bacterium. RNAcentral's name for it is "bacterial SSU rRNA". It matches the Rfam family "Bacterial small subunit ribosomal RNA", at positions 28 to 776 of the family's 1533-position model. The record is from RNAcentral.